RNAcentral lists this ribosomal RNA (679 nucleotides) under uncultured archaeon. RNAcentral describes it as "bacterial SSU rRNA". It matches the Rfam family "Archaeal small subunit ribosomal RNA", at positions 72 to 754 of the family's 1478-position model. The record is from RNAcentral.
CGGCCCUCGGCAGACUGCUCAGUAACACGUGGAUAACCUACCCUUGGGUGGGGGAUAAGCUCGGGAAACUGAGUAUAAUACCCCAUAGGUCAUCUAUGCUGGAAUGCUUGAUGGCCAAAAGCUCCGGCGCCCAAGGAUGGGUCUGCGGCCUAUCAGGUCGUAGUUGGUGUAACGGACCAACUAGCCUUCGACCGGUACGGGCCAUGAGAGGGGGAGCCCGGAGAUGGAAACUGAGAAAAGGUUCCAGGCCCUACGGGGUGCAGCAGGCGCGAAACCUCCACAAUGCGCGAAAGCGUGAUGGGGUUAUCCCGAGUGCCGUCCGAUGAGGAUGGCUUUUAAUCGAUGUAAGGAUUCGAUAGAAUAAAGGGGGGGCAAGACUGGUGUCAGCCGCCGCGGUAAUACCAGCCCCCUGAGUGGUAAGGACGAUUAUUUGGCCUAAAGCGUUCGUAGCCGGCUUAUCAAGUCUUUUGUUAAAUCCAACGAUUCAAUCGUUGGGCCGCAAAAGAUACUGUUAUGCUAGAGGACGGGAGAGGUCGACGGUAGUCCAGGGGUAGGGGUGAAAUCCUAUAAUCCUUGGAGGACCACCAGUGGCGAAGGCGGUCGACUAGAACGUGCCUGACGGUGAGGGACGAAAGCUGGGGGAGCGAACCGGAUUAGAUACCCGGGUAGUCCCAGCUGU